GUAGGUGGCAAGCGUUGUCCGGGAAUUAUUGGGGCGUAAAGCGCGCGCAGGCGGUUCUUUAAGUCUGAUGUGAAAGCCCACGGGCUCAACCGUGGAGGGUCAUUGGAAACUGGAGAACUUGAGUACAGAAGAGGAAAGCGGAAUUCCACGUGUAGCGGUGAAAUGCGUAGAGAUGUGGAGGAACACCAGUGGCGAAGGCGGCUUUCUGGUCUGUAACUGACGCUGAGGCGCGAAAGCGUGGGGAGCAAACAGGAUUAGAUACCCUGGUAGUCCACGCCGUAAACGAUGAGUGCUAAGUGUUAGGGGGUUUCCGCCACUUAGUGCUGCAGCUAACGCAUUAAGCACUCCGCCUGGGGAGUACGGCCGCAAAGGCUG
RNAcentral lists this ribosomal RNA (375 nucleotides) under uncultured organism. RNAcentral describes it as "partial 16S ribosomal RNA". It matches the Rfam family "Bacterial small subunit ribosomal RNA", at positions 527 to 896 of the family's 1533-position model. The record is from RNAcentral.